UACAGAGGGUGCAAGCGUUAAUCGGAAUUACUGGGCGUAAAGGGCGCGUAGGCGGUUUAGUAAGUUAUGUGUGAAGACUCUGGGCUUAACCUGGGACGUGCACAUAAUACUGAUAAACUAGAGUAGAGUAGAGGAAAGUGGAAUUUCCGGUGUAGCGGUGAAAUGCGUAGAUAUCGGAAGGAACACCAGUGGCGAAGGCGGCUUUCUGGGCUCAUACUGACGCUGAGGCGCGAAAGCGUGGGGAGCAAACAGG
This 253-nucleotide unclassified non-coding RNA is filed under the name uncultured Gammaproteobacteria bacterium. Its description in RNAcentral is "contains 16S-23S intergenic spacer region". It matches the Rfam family "Bacterial small subunit ribosomal RNA", at positions 524 to 776 of the family's 1533-position model. The record is from RNAcentral. Lineage: Bacteria; Pseudomonadati; Pseudomonadota; Gammaproteobacteria.